Molecule: ribosomal RNA, 490 nt
Filed under: uncultured bacterium
Lineage: Bacteria
Description: partial 16S ribosomal RNA
Rfam family: Bacterial small subunit ribosomal RNA
Source: RNAcentral
AUUGAACGCUGGCGGCAGGCCUAACACAUGCAAGUCGAACGGUAACAGGAAACGGCUUGCUGUUUCGCUGACGAGUGGCGGACGGGUGAGUAAUGUCUGGGAAACUGCCUGAUGGAGGGGGAUAACUACUGGAAACGGUAGCUAAUACCGCAUAACGUCGCAAGACCAAAGAGGGGGACCUUCGGGCCUCUUGCCAUCGGAUGUGCCCAGAUGGGAUUAGCUAGUAGGUGGGGUAACGGCUCACCUAGGCGACGAUCCCUAGCUGGUCUGAGAGGAUGACCAGCCACACUGGAACUGAGACACGGUCCAGACUCCUACGGGAGGCAGCAGUGGGGAAUAUUGCACAAUGGGCGCAAGCCUGAUGCAGCCAUGCCGCGUGUAUGAAGAAGGCCUUCGGGUUGUAAAGUACUUUCAGCGGGGAUGAAGGGAGUAAAGUUAAUACCUUUGCUCAUUGACGUUACCCGCAGAAGAAGCACCGGCUAACUCCGUG